AUUGAACGCUGGCGGCAUGCCUUACACAUGCAAGUCGAACGGUAACAGGUCUUCGGAUGCUGACGAGUGGCGAACGGGUGAGUAAUACAUCGGAACGUGCCUAGUAGUGGGGAUAACUACUCGAAAGAGUGGCUAAUACCGCACGAGAUCUACGGAUGAAGGCAGGGGAUCGCAAGACCUUGUGCUACUAGAGCGGCCGAUGGCAGAUUAGGUAGUUGGUGGGAUAAAAGCUUACCAAGCCGACGAUCUGUAGCUGGUCUGAGAGGACGAUCAGCCAAACUGGGACUGAGAAACGGCCCAGACUCCUACGGGAGGCAGCAGUGGGGAAUGUUGGACAAUGGGCGCAAGCCGGAUCCAGCAAUGCCGCGUGCAGGAUGAAGGCCUUCGGGUUGUAAACUGCUUUUGUACGGAACGAAAAGCCCCGGGUUAAUACCCUGGGGUCAUGACGGUACCGUAAGAAUAAGCACCGGCUAACUACGUGCCAGCCGCCGCCGUAA
This 497-nucleotide ribosomal RNA is filed under the name uncultured bacterium. RNAcentral's name for it is "partial 16S ribosomal RNA". It matches the Rfam family "Bacterial small subunit ribosomal RNA", at positions 30 to 523 of the family's 1533-position model. The record is from RNAcentral.